Molecule: ribosomal RNA, 253 nt
Filed under: uncultured bacterium
Lineage: Bacteria
Description: partial 16S ribosomal RNA
Rfam family: Bacterial small subunit ribosomal RNA
Source: RNAcentral
UACGUAGGGGGCAAGCGUUGUCCGGAUUUAUUGGGCGUAAAGAGCGUGUAGGCGGUCAGGUAGGUCCGUUGUGAAAACUCGAGGCUCAACCUCGAGACGCCGAUGGAAACCAUCUGACUAGAGUCCGGAAGAGGAGAGUGGAAUUCCUGGUGUAGCGGUGAAAUGCGCAGAUAUCAGGAAGAACACCCGUGGCUAAGGCGGCUCUCUAGUACGGUACUGACGCCGAGACGCGAAAGCGUGGGGAGCGAACAGG